Molecule: ribosomal RNA, 468 nt
Filed under: uncultured bacterium
Lineage: Bacteria
Description: partial 16S ribosomal RNA
Rfam family: Bacterial small subunit ribosomal RNA
Source: RNAcentral
GAUGAACGCUGGCGGCGUGCCUAACACAUGCCAGUCGAACGGACAGGCCCGGCGCUUGUGGCUCUCACGUGUGGCGAAGGGGGGUGUAAAACACGUGUAAACUGCCCCUGACAUAGGGAUAACUCUUGGAAAAUCGGGCUAAUACCGCGUAGGAGCUACUGCUGCAUGGUGUGGGAUGGUAAGAUUCGGCGGUGUGGGAUGGAUUCGCUGCUUAUGAGCUUGUUGGUGGAGUAGUGGCUGACAAAGGCUUCGACGGGUAGGCGGCCUGGGAGGGUGACCGGCGACAUUAGGACUGAGAGACGGCCCAGACGCCUACGUGCGGCAACAGGGGGGAGUAUUGCACAACAGGCGCGAGCCUGAGACAGCAAUGCUGCGUGCGGGAUGCUGGCCUUCGGGGGGUAAACAGCUUUCGCCUGUGCCAUAGCGUGAGUGACGGUAAUGAGUAAAGAAGCCCCGGCUAACUACGUG